AUUGAACGCUGGCGGCAGGCCUAACACAUGCAAGUCGAGCGGAUGAAGGGAGCUUGCUCCUGGAUUCAGCGGCGGACGGGUGAGUAAUGCCUAGGAAUCUGCCUGGUAGUGGGGGAUAACGUCCGGAAACGGGCGCUAAUACCGCAUACGUCCUGAGGUAGAAAGUGGGGGAUCUUCGGACCUCACGCUAUCAGAUGAGCCUAGGUCGGAUUAGCUAGUUGGUGGGGUAAAGGCCUACCAAGGCGACGAUCCGUAACUGGUCUGAGAGGAUGAUCAGUCACACUGGAACUGAGACACGGUCCAGACUCCUACGGGAGGCAGCAGUGGGGAAUAUUGGACAAUGGGCGAAAGCCUGAUCCAGCCAUGCCGCGUGUGUGAAGAAGGUCUUCGGAUUGUAAAGCACUUUAAGUUGGGAGGAAGGGAAGUAAGUUAAUACCUUGCUGUUUUGACGUUACCAACAGAAUAAGCACCGGCUAACUUCGUG
RNAcentral lists this ribosomal RNA (484 nucleotides) under uncultured bacterium. RNAcentral's name for it is "partial 16S ribosomal RNA". It matches the Rfam family "Bacterial small subunit ribosomal RNA", at positions 30 to 507 of the family's 1533-position model. The record is from RNAcentral.